UCUAUGGAGUCACAUAGAGUUGGACACAACUGAAGUGACUUAGCAGCAGCAGAUUCUCAGAAAUUUUUCACAAUAAAUUCCUAAAGCAUACCUCUUUCUUUCCAAACAUGCAAAAUAUUCAGAUUCCCAUGGGUGGUGAUGGAGAUAUACCUUGUUUUUAAAAUUAAUUCUGGGGACUAGAAAUAAAAAUACGCUUUCCAGUGUGACAGGGAUGAUUCUGUGAAGACUGUGAUCAGUGAAAAAUGACUGCUCCCCCCAGCAGCCAGAACACUAUGCUCCUUUUCAGAAUACUUCUCUUUAAUAAUGUGUUUAAUAAUGUGACUCUUCUCUUCAUGCAUUUUCCCUGCCAGAUUAUGAGCUCCUUGAGAACAGAAACUGCCUAACUUGUUCAUCACUCUACUCCUGCACCAAGGGCAGUGACAAGCUGAUGGUAGAUGUUGGCUGAGUGGGUGGAUGGCUAGAUGGAUGAUGCCAUCCUGUGGGGUGAAAGCAAAGAACAGCCCCCUGACUGAGAAUGGGAUAGAAGAUGGGAGGGUUUGAUCAUAGGAAGAGGAAAAUCAUCCAGAACUGCCUAGAAGUGAAGGUCUGAUCAGGUCAGCCUGCUGGUCCAAGGUGGCAGCAAAUUGGGGAAGACAAGAUGGAGACAUUGGACAAAGAGGAAGAAACCAGAAUUGGGAUGAAAGGAGCCGUUUGCUGAGGCUAUUCAAGGCAAUGGGAUGACCACCAAAGAGAUGACUUUGGUUAUGUACUCCUCCCAAGGGUUAAGCACUGGAAGAUGACAAGAGGGAAGCAGAGCCCCUAGAGAUCGCCCUGGAACCAAACCACCCUAAAUGGAGCCGGGAGGUCUGUCAAUUCCCAGAGAGCACGGAGGAAAUGGUCUCUAAGUGAAAGUGCAAGGCAUUCAUCACUGUCACCACUAUCACCAAACCAUGACCUCACCGUGUUUGAGAGGGGGAAAGCAAUGCUUCAUUCUAUUCAAUAUUUUUCUGCUCUAAUUCAAAUAAGUACCUGUUUCUGGAUACUAGGGAAAAUGGAACAUGGCACAGCUGAACUUAAAACGGCAAAGCCAAGAGCAAAAGCAACGCGCACAGCCAAAGGAGACCUUGGAAGAUGCGUAGAUAAAACAAAAAGCUGUGCUUGGCCCGGACGCUCUUUUGGAAUCAGAGGCAAAAUGGAGAACAUUGUUCCCAUUGUAAAGAUUUUGCAAUCUAUGAUAUCUGGAAUAGAAAGGCAUCAUGCCAUCUACCUUGACGUUCAGAAGCUGUGCUAUUGCUAUGAGUUAUGAUACUUGUUCCUGAACCAGAGUGGUCAGAGGUGGGGUGGAAUUCCUGUGGUGGACCAGAAUUUAAACUCCGCUUAAACAGUGCUUUCCCAUGGCAACCACUGUCCAUUUUCCUUCCCCCACCCGCCCCAGCUCCCCACCCCCACCUGAACCAUAGAAUUUUUAUUUAAAUAUUCACUCUUCUCUUCAUCCCCAUCUCUCCACAAAGGGUCAUUAUUUACUUAUUAUACUCAGCCCUUAAAUGUCAACUUUUUUAGGACAAGUGUAUAGCUGAUUCUCUCUGCUUCUCAUGAAGACUUCUUUUGUUGGCCAAAUCCUAUCAUCUUGAAAGCCUUGCUGACCCCAAGAAGUUGAAUCUUGAACCCCACAAAUCUCAAUACUUUUUAUCUCUUGGGUGCCCAUUUUGGUAGAGCAAAGGGGCCUCCCUCAAUCCUAAGACUCCUCCCCACUUCCUCCUUUUCUCCUAGUAACUCUUGCCACUGGCCAAAGAUUUAUUAGACCCUAGUUUUGUCCCUAUGCCUCUUGCCACUAGCUAUAAAUUGCCUUUUCGCAAAUUAGACAAAGCUACCCUACCUCAAGACACUUUGCUGCCAUCUGCCAGAAAACUAUUGUAAUAAAUAUGCCAAGAGAUCAUGACUAGAAUGUGAAUGGUGCCCCCUAGAAUUGUGCGGUGUACAACUGGUACAACUGUAUGUGAAAACCCCGUACUUGGAAAUCACCUGAGCUAUCCUGGAAGCUGGCUGUAUGAAUAAGAACACAGUACAUCAGUCUUGCCUUUUUAUGCCAGUUGGCAAUUUCAAAAUCUAAAUCACUUGGCCAUGAUCAAAAAUUGCUGAGAGGCAAUUUCUGGAAAAGACCAAGAGCCCCCGGGUAGCAAUAUUCAUAAGAGUAAAGGGUUCUUAUUCAGCCCCAGAUUUGGCCUACUGGCUGGGUAUAUACAACCCAAACCACCUUGGCUUGAUUUUCAGGAAGCAUCACUUAGAAAGCUCGUAAGUCUCAGUGUUGGGGGUGAAGGCGGAAAGUGAACUUGGCUUAUGUUUAGGUCAACCUUUCCCCCUCCCUGGCACUGGCUGCUUCAUUCUUGUUGAUUGCUCUAUCUGUUCCCCUCCCUCCUUCACAUUCAGUACAACCUACAUGUCCUAGUGAUCUUCUGCCAUAAAACAGACUACCCC
Molecule: long non-coding RNA, 2454 nt
Organism: Cervus elaphus (red deer)
Lineage: Eukaryota; Metazoa; Chordata; Mammalia; Artiodactyla; Cervidae
Exons: 4
Source: RefSeq, a predicted model, not a curated record